GUAAUUUUUUUUCUUGACCCUACAGGAUGCCCGGUGGUAACCAGUCUUCCAUGUGGCUGAACAGAUGCCAGUGUACCCAAAUUCUGAGACACAACUGGAUGUUCUUUUCUUCUGCUUUUAAGAUUCCCAAUUCGAGAUGAUGUGCAGUUCAUGUUAGAUUUGCUAUUUCUACAGUUACAGUGAUGUAGAAGAGUCCAGUUAUGUUAUGGGGCAGUAGUUAAACAAGAAGGACGGAGAGAUGUGUGCCGUGUUGAAGUAGUGGGUGGCCCUCCUGCCCGGCACUUCUAAAAUCCUCCAUCUCAACCUCUGCUCUGAUCUGCUGUGCCUUUGCCAAGUGAUCACGAGUUAAUUGCAGUGGUGCCCCCCUGUGUCUCCAUCGUCUGUUACAUCAACUCCAACUGCCUGUGAUGCCAGAGAGAAGAAAAGUUCACAAGAUGUCCUGAAAUGGAAUUGUGAUUGGACUGAGACGGACGCAAUUAUGUAUGCUGUGAUGUGCAGAGCAGGCUGUGUGGACUUUGGCUUGGGAACCCCAGAGGUUUAUUAUCUCCAACAUCUUUCAAAGGUGCAAGUUUGUCUUUGUCCCUGGCCAUUUGACCAGGCAGUGUAUUUAUUACAAAGGACAAAGACCCCUCCAUUUGCUUCUUAUUUACUUUUAUAAUGCCCUCAAUUUUCUUUGUCACUGUAUGUUUUUGUAGAGCAAUUUGAGCUACACUUGUAAGAAAAGGUGAUAUAGAAAUAUUAUUACUGAUUUUAAGGGACAGAUCAGGAAAAAUGUCAGUUUAAAUAGAACACAUUUUUUAUGGAAUAUUGCUGGAUAAUAACUCUGACUCUGAGUAGUAUCUUGUUCAUAAAACUAAAAUAGCAUUUUUCCUUUUUUUGACAAAUUUAAUGAUUCACUUUUAAUGUUCACAACCUUGGCUAACAUUUUUUUUAAAGAUCUGUAAAUAUGUUUGUGUUCCCUUUCCCUAA
Long non-coding RNA from Erpetoichthys calabaricus (reedfish), 969 nucleotides. RefSeq lists it as uncharacterized. The record is from RefSeq and is a predicted model, not a curated record. The transcript has 3 exons. Lineage: Eukaryota; Metazoa; Chordata; Cladistia; Polypteriformes; Polypteridae.